This 266-nucleotide ribosomal RNA is filed under the name uncultured bacterium. Its description in RNAcentral is "partial 16S ribosomal RNA". It matches the Rfam family "Bacterial small subunit ribosomal RNA", at positions 793 to 1055 of the family's 1533-position model. The record is from RNAcentral.
GUCCACGCUGUAAACGAUGAGAGCUAGUUGUCGGCACGCAUGCGUGUCGGUGACGCAGCUAACGCAUUAAGCUCUCCGCCUGGGGAGUACGGCCGCAAGGUUAAAACUCAAAGAAAUUGACGGGGGCCCGCACAAGCGGUGGAGCAUGUGGUUUAAUUCGAAGCAACGCGCAGAACCUUACCCACGUUUGACAUGUCCAGUUUGGUCGCGAGAGAUCGCUUCCUUCAGUUCGGCUGACUGGAACACAGGUGCCGCAUGGCUGUCGU